RNAcentral lists this ribosomal RNA (963 nucleotides) under Triticum aestivum (bread wheat). RNAcentral's name for it is "partial small subunit ribosomal RNA". The record is from RNAcentral. Lineage: Eukaryota; Viridiplantae; Streptophyta; Magnoliopsida; Poales; Poaceae.
AUGCCGCUCUGCAGCUUCUACGCCUCCACGUCCCUCCCGGUGCCGAAACCCCACUCCUUGCCCUCCUCCGCCGCGGCGGUCACCACCGUGCAGGCAAAGAAGUCGCCGCCGGCCGUGGCUGCGGCUGCGGCGGCGACCGUCCUGCCGACGACGGCCGAGAGCACAGCGUCGAUGAUGCCGGCGGAGGCGCUGUCGCUGCACCUGCCGGAGCUGCCGUCGGCGAUGCGGGACAAGAUCCUGAGCCUGGAGCUGAUGGGGGUGGACUACGGGCGCGCGCUGUCGCUGAACCCGGCGCUCCGGGACGCGGCGCCGGAGUCCAUCCACGCGGUGGUGACCUUCCUCCAGUCGCGCGGGCUCCACUUCAAGGACCUGGGCCGCGUCUUCGGCAUGUGCCCGUCCGUGCUCACCGCCAGCGUCCGCGCCGACCUCCGCCCCGUCUUCGCCUUCCUCACCGACGACCUCGGCGUGCCGGAGGCGGCCUACCGCCGCGUGGUCGUCAAGUGCCCGCGCGUGCUGGCCUGCAGCGUCCGCGACCAGCUCCGGCCGGCGCUCAUCUACCUCCGCCGCCUCGGCUUCCGGGACAACCGCGCGCUGGCGUUCCAGGACCCCAUCCUCCUCGUCUCCAGCGUGGAGCGCACCAUGGCGCCCAAGCUGGAGUACCUGGCCGGGCUGGGCAUGUCGCGGGACGACGCCGUGGCCAUGGCGCUCCGGUGCCCGGCCCUCUUCACCUUCAACGUGGAGAGGAACUACAGGCCCAAGUUCGAGUACCUGGUGGGGGAGAUGGGCGGCGGCGUGGAGGACGUCAAGGCCUUCCCGCAGUACUUCACCUUCAGCCUCGAGAAGCGGAUCGCGCCGCGGCACCGUGCCGCCGCCGACGCCGGCGUCGACCUGCCGCUGCCGGACAUGCUCAAGGCCACCGACGAGGAGUUCAGCGAGAUGCUCGAGAGGAGAAGGAGCAGAUGA